UAUUAUUUAAAAUUUAAAUUAGAAUUAUUAAAGUAGUAAUAGUUAUGUUCUUGAAACUUAAAAAAUUUGGCGGUAUUUUAGUCUAUUCAGAGGAACCUGUUUUAUAAUCGAUAAUCCACGAUGGACCUUACUUAAAUUAGUUUACAGUUUAUAUACCGUCGUUAUUUGAAUAUUUUAUAAGAAUAAUAAUAUUCAAUAAUUUUUAUAAAAAAUUAUAUCAGAUCAAGGUGUAGCUUAUAUUUAAGAAUAAAUGGGUUACAAUAAAAUUAUUUAUAUGAAUAUAAAUAUGAAAAAUUUAUUGAAAUUGGAUUUGAUAGUAAAAUUAUAAAGAUUAAUAAUUUGAUUUUAGCUCUAAAAUAUGUACAUAUCGCCCGUCGCUCUUAUUAUAAAAUAAGAUAAGUCGUAACAUAGUAGAUGUACUGGAAAGUGUAUCUAGAAUG
Molecule: ribosomal RNA, 440 nt
Filed under: Amiota leucostoma
Lineage: Eukaryota; Metazoa; Arthropoda; Insecta; Diptera; Drosophilidae
Description: partial 12S ribosomal RNA
Source: RNAcentral